AUUUGUUGUCUUUGCCACUGGAGCACAGGGUGCCUGGGGAGCAGAGAUCAGCUACUGAGCAGGGGGAUGGCUGGUCCCAGGUUUUCUCUGAGUGGUGAAAAAAGAGGAAUCAGACUAAUUGGCUGCAACUAAGCAGGCCCACAGCUUCAGCAGACCAGUACUGUUUGAAUCAGGGGACAUUUGAGUCCCACUGCUGGAUAAGAGAGAGGAAUUCUGUCAGCCUCAGGACAGGCUACAGAACACACUGCAGGUAACCCAAAAGACCUGGGAAGAAGAGGAAUAGAGAUGAUGGUCUUCAGUAAAAUCUACUUUCAGAAGAAGAAAACUACUUGAGAGGGAAGUCAGUGCUGAAACUUUCCAUUCCAAAGCUUUAACUAUUAGCAGGACUAAAUUAUCUGUGAGAAAGCACUAAGUUCAUUCCACACCUUCUACAGAAAUGCAAAGCAGAGUACAGACAACAUUUCCUACUUUUCAUUAAGUAUCUCUGUGGUUGCCUGGAUGAAUGGAGGUGUCAGAAUUGUAAGUGGAACACUGACUGACCAGGAAAGGAAAUUGUUUUAUUGAUGCAAAUACCAGAGACCGUGCUUGUCAUACUGGAGCUCUAAAAACAAAACUCGUGCCUUCCUCAUUCUCUUUUUCAUAGUCGCUUUUGUUAUGUACUUUUAAAUAUCCUCCUGACUAACUGGCUUCCAGAAGAAGAGGGGGGAAAAGAAUCGUAAAAGCAAAAACUGGGAGAAACCAUUGAAGGAUAGCUGAGCCAUCAAUUUCUGUAGACCAGACCCUUAGGUCCAAUUCACCCUGUGCUACUGCCAGCCACUUACAUCAUUCAUAGCAAAAAUUUUGACAGUCCAAACUGGUGUGUUCAAGACUUGCAGAAAUGCUGCUUAUUCACAAUAUAUCCUAAAAGCUAAACACCAAAUAAUUUUCGCAUCUUCAGAGCAUUAUUUAAAUAGAACAGUUCUUAAACAAGCAAUAUGCCAUUUAAAGGUGCAAAUCUCAGCAUUUGCUACACUAGAAGUUUUUAUGCAAAAUCCUCUUGAAUCCUGGAAAGCUUGCUCGCUAGAAAGGUGCAUGCUGUUCUAAUAUAUAUAUAUAUAUAUCCUAUGUCAGCACAAACAGCCUUCAUGUAAACACGCAGCCGGGAGUACCAUGAGUAACAACUCUGUUUCCAUCA
Passer domesticus (house sparrow) is the source of this 1174-nucleotide long non-coding RNA. RefSeq lists it as uncharacterized. The record is from RefSeq and is a predicted model, not a curated record. Lineage: Eukaryota; Metazoa; Chordata; Aves; Passeriformes; Passeridae. The transcript is spliced from 3 exons.